This 1372-nucleotide ribosomal RNA is filed under the name uncultured bacterium. RNAcentral's name for it is "bacterial SSU rRNA". It matches the Rfam family "Bacterial small subunit ribosomal RNA", at positions 28 to 1381 of the family's 1533-position model. The record is from RNAcentral.
GAUGAACGCUGGCGGCGUGCCUAAUACAUGCAAGUCGAGCGAACGGACGAGAAGCUUGCUUUUCUGAUGUUAGCGGCGGACGGGUGAGUAACACGUGGAUAACCUACCUAUAAGACUGGGAUAACUUCGGGAAACCGGAGCUAAUACCGGAUAAUAUUUUGAACCGCAUGGUUCAAAAGUGAAAGACGGUCUUGCUGUCACUUAUAGAUGGAUCCGCGCUGCAUUAGCUAGUUGGUAAGGUAACGGCUUACCAAGGCAACGAUGCAUAGCCGACCUGAGAGGGUGAUCGGCCACACUGGAACUGAGACACGGUCCAGACUCCUACGGGAGGCAGCAGUAGGGAAUCUUCCGCAAUGGGCGAAAGCCUGACGGAGCAACGCCGCGUGAGUGAUGAAGGUCUUCGGAUCGUAAAACUCUGUUAUUAGGGAAGAACAUAUGUGUAAGUAACUGUGCACAUCUUGACGGUACCUAAUCAGAAAGCCACGGCUAACUACGUGCCAGCAGCCGCGGUAAUACGUAGGUGGCAAGCGUUAUCCGGAAUUAUUGGGCGUAAAGCGCGCGUAGGCGGUUUUUUAAGUCUGAUGUGAAAGCCCACGGCUCAACCGUGGAGGGUCAUUGGAAACUGGAAAACUUGAGUGCAGAAGAGGAAAGUGGAAUUCCAUGUGUAGCGGUGAAAUGCGCAGAGAUGUGGAGGAACACCAGUGGCAAGGGCGACUUUCUGGUCUGUAACUGACGCUGAUGUGCGAAAGCGUGGGGAUCAAACAGGAUUAGAUACCCUGGUAGUCCACGCCGUAAACGAUGAGUGCUAAGUGUUAGGGGGUUUCCGCCCCUUAGUGCUGCAGCUAACGCAUUAAGCACUCCGCCUGGGGAGUACGACCGCAAGGUUGAAACUCAAAGGAAUUGACGGGGGCCCGCACAAGCGGUGGAGCAUGUGGUUUAAUUCGAAGCAACGCGAAGAACCUUACCAAAUCUUGACAUCCUUUGACAACUCUAGAGAUAGAGCCUUCCCCUUCGGGGGACAAAGUGACAGGUGGUGCAUGGUUGUCGUCAGCUCGUGUCGUGAGAUGUUGGGUUAAGUCCCGCAACGAGCGCAACCCUUAAGCUUAGUUGCCAUCAUUAAGUUGGGCACUCUAAGUUGACUGCCGGUGACAAACCGGAGGAAGGUGGGGAUGACGUCAAAUCAUCAUGCCCCUUAUGAUUUGGGCUACACACGUGCUACAAUGGACAAUACAAAGGGCAGCGAAACCGCGAGGUCAAGCAAAUCCCAUAAAGUUGUUCUCAGUUCGGAUUGUAGUCUGCAACUCGACUACAUGAAGCUGGAAUCGCUAGUAAUCGUAGAUCAGCAUGCUACGGUGAAUACGUUCCCGGGUCU